This 304-nucleotide ribosomal RNA is filed under the name Dehalococcoidia bacterium. RNAcentral describes it as "partial 16S ribosomal RNA". It matches the Rfam family "Bacterial small subunit ribosomal RNA", at positions 1 to 299 of the family's 1533-position model. The record is from RNAcentral. Lineage: Bacteria; Bacillati; Chloroflexota; Dehalococcoidia.
CCCAAUUUUCAUAGAGUUUGAUCUUGGCUCAGGACGAACGUUGGCGGUGCGCCUAAUGCAUGCAAGUCGAACGGGCGAAGGGACUUCGGUCCCCUAGCUAGUGGCAGACGGCUGAGUAACACGUAAAUGAUCUGCCCCGAAGUGAGGGACAACCCCGAGAAAUCGGGCCUAAUACCUCGUAAGUUCAUUGGAUCACGGUCCAGUGAAGAAAGGUUUCGGCCACUUUGGGAGGAGUUUGCGGCCUAUCAGGUAGUUGGUGGGGUAAUAGCCUACCAAGCCGAAGACGGGUAACCGGUGUGAGAGC